This is a non-coding RNA of Ciona savignyi (Pacific transparent sea squirt), 73 nucleotides long. NCBI's taxonomy places the organism in Eukaryota, Metazoa, Chordata, Ascidiacea, Phlebobranchia, Cionidae. The record is from Rfam.
GGGGGUGUAGCUCAUAUGGUAGAGCGCGCGCUUAGCAUGCGCGAGGUACCGGGAUCGAUACCCGGCACCUCCA